This 521-nucleotide ribosomal RNA is filed under the name Mohunia bifasciana. RNAcentral's name for it is "partial large subunit ribosomal RNA". It matches the Rfam family "Archaeal large subunit ribosomal RNA", at positions 1902 to 2678 of the family's 2987-position model. Lineage: Eukaryota; Metazoa; Arthropoda; Insecta; Hemiptera; Cicadellidae. The record is from RNAcentral.
AAAACAUUUCUUUUUGGUUAUUUAAAAGGUAUACCCUGCCCUAUGGUUAAUUCUAAAUGGCUGCAGUAUACUGACUGUGCAAAGGUAGCAUAGUAAUUAGUCUCUUAAUUAGGGACUUGAAUGAAUGGGUGAAUGAGAUAUAAGUUUUAUUUAUAUUAUUAUUAAAAUUUAAAUUUUAAGUCAAAAUGCUUAAGUUUAUUCUUGGGACGAUAAGACCCUAUAGAACUUAAUAUUAUAUAAAAUAGAUUUUUUUAAUUUUUUUAAUUAAAUUUUAUAUUAUUUUUAGCUGGGGUGGCUGAUAAAUUUUAACUUUAUCUUUUUCAUUCAUUAAUUUAUGAUAAUUUUGUUCCUUAAUUUUUGGAUAUUAAGAUAAAGUUACCUUAGGGAUAACAGCGUAAUCUUAAUGGAGAGUUCACAUCUAUAUUAAGUUUUGCGACCUCGAUGUUGAAUUAAGAUAAUUUCAAGAAGUAGAAUUCUUGUUAAUAGGUCUGUUCGACCUUUAAAUUCUUACAUGAUUUGUU